AGAAUCAACGCUGGCGGCGUGCCUAACACAUGCAAGUCGAACGCGAAAGUCCCGCAAGGGAUGAGUAGAGUGGCAAACGGGUGAGUAACACGUGGGUGACCUGCCCUCGAGCGGGGGAUAACGUCCCGAAAGGGACGCUAAUACCGCAUGACAUCCUGCCUUUGAACAGGCGGAGAUCAAAGCUGGGGAUCGCAAGACCUAGCACUCGAGGAGGGGCCCGCGCCUGAUUAGCUAGUUGGUGAGGUAACGGCUCACCAAGGCUUCGAUCAGUA
This 272-nucleotide ribosomal RNA is filed under the name uncultured bacterium. RNAcentral's name for it is "partial small subunit ribosomal RNA". It matches the Rfam family "Bacterial small subunit ribosomal RNA", at positions 26 to 285 of the family's 1533-position model. The record is from RNAcentral.